CCUACGGGAGGCAGCAGUCGAGAAUCAUUCACAAUGGGGGAAACCCUGAUGGUGCGACGCCGCGUGGGGGAAUGAAGGUCUUCGGAUUGUAAACUCCUGUCAUGUGGGAGCAAAUUAAAAAGAUAGUACCACAAGAGGAAGAGACGGCUAACUCUGUGCCAGCAGCCGCGGUAAUACAGAGGUCUCAAGCGUUGUUCGGAAUCACUGGGCGUAAAGCGUGCGUAGGCUGUUUCGUAAGUCGUGUGUGAAAGGCGCGGGCUCAACCCGCGGACGGCACAUGAUACUGCGAGACUAGAGUAAUGGAGGGGGAACCGGAAUUCUCGGUGUAGCAGUGAAAUGCGUAGAUAUCGAGAGGAACACUCGUGGCGAAGGCGGGUUCCUGGACAUUAACUGACGCUGAGGCACGAAGGCCAGGGGAGCGAACGGGAUUAGAUACCCCUGUAGUC
RNAcentral lists this ribosomal RNA (446 nucleotides) under uncultured bacterium. RNAcentral's name for it is "partial 16S ribosomal RNA". It matches the Rfam family "Bacterial small subunit ribosomal RNA", at positions 338 to 795 of the family's 1533-position model. The record is from RNAcentral.